This 630-nucleotide unclassified non-coding RNA is filed under the name Hevea brasiliensis (rubber tree). Lineage: Eukaryota; Viridiplantae; Streptophyta; Magnoliopsida; Malpighiales; Euphorbiaceae. The record is from RNAcentral.
UAUGUCACAGAAGUGAAACCGAACGAGGUACUGAAAUCCAGGAUCAACAUUGAACUGCCAGGUCACAUUGAAAUUGCUGCUGGGAUUAUCUGCUGAGUUCAUCAUGGUCGCAGUAUCAUAAACAGCAUUAGGAGCAAUAUCUGGUGUUGCUCCACCAUCUACAUACUUCACAGCGCCGAUUCUUGAUAUGUUUGUUGCAAAAUUCUUAUUGAUGAGAAAACUUUGAUCAGGAACCCAAGUUCGCCCAAGGGUAUCAUUUUCAGGGAGAAUUGUUGGUCCACCCAUGUUCACCCUAAAAAUGGUCUCCAGUGCCUGUGAAAGCAUGCCUUGGAAUUUCCCCAACGGAUUAAAAGUGCUGGCACCAUCUGUAAUGAGUGUAUCAGGGACGGAAACAACUUCCAAGGCAUUCAAGAAUGCAAAUGAAUUGCUGGAUGGGGUGAAAGUAAUUUCAAGGCUACUCGAGGUUACGUUAACUGAAAAUUCUUUAACAACAUUAGAGUUCACACUGAAAUUGCUCAUAAGGACAUGGUCUUGGGUGGAAACAUGAAAAUUUGCCUUGCUCAUAUUGUAACUAUCAUGAACAAAUGGAUAAAAAUAAAGGCGAAUCCAAUGUCUUCCAGGUUGCUGAAU